UGGCCUCCUUCCACCUCCUCUCCCAAUCCACGAGCGCGUGCGCCCCCCUCCGACCGCUGCAGCCGGCCGGCCACAGAUCCCUCUCGCCCCUCCGGCCGGAUCGGCGAAACCCCCUCCCCCGCCUCCCGCCGCCCGCUCCGACCUCGCCGUCACCGAGCAACAGCAGCAGCGCUCGGCGUCGGCGCGCCUGGCUAGCCCAAGCCUGGCGCUCCCGCUGGAGGAGGAGGACCCACCGGAGCCCAACGCCCCAAGGCCCCCGACGGAGCACGCCUUCGCGAAAAGCCUGGGCUCCCGUCGCUCCGCCUCGGUGUGAACUGCAUGGUGCUAUCAUGGAAAACACAAACAAAGCAAACGGUGAAGCUGAAGCAAUUCUUGCCAGGUCAGGCCACUGCUGAAGGGAUCAGGAUGGUCUCAGUCGUUUAAAACUGAAGGCAGCACAGAGUGCACGAAACGGCGUCACUGCAGCCCAAGUGGAUGAGUCGGCCGCCCACGUCAUAGGUGCCCGGAUACCAGCGGAGGUGACGUUGGAAACUAUGAUGCUCUUCUUUUACUUGUUUUUUGAAGAAGUUAUAGCUUGCCGUAUGUGCAUGGUAGAUUCAGUUCUGCAAGUAGGUAGUAUCUUGAUUUCCACUGUACAUGUAGCGGUGGAGCUGAAAACAAUGCUUUGCGUAUGUUCAUGGCCCUGCCAUGUGCUUGCUCCUGUCUAUGUCCAUGAGCAACAGCAAAAUCAAUCAUUUAGUAGCAUAUCGUUCUUAGACCUUAAUACUUGUCCUAGCAACUGGAUAUACCGAGCCACUCAUUUCUUCUGGAGAAUUGGGUGUCAAGCCAGAUGAUCUUAGCCUGGAGAAAUAUUUUGCUGCUAAAAGUCUUCUUUCAUCAAGGUCCUUCCGUAUAGAUAAAUAUCAUGGUUCUGGAAUGGUUUCCCUGGCUGACAUGUAAGCUACAAUCUACCUCUGUAAUUUGAUUCAUUCUAUCUGCUUAUGUUGCAAAUGCUGCAUCAGUUACGUUGUGGUGACUGGUGGGUUAUAGUGGUUUGAAUAUUAACAUGGAUAUGUGCCCUUCACUGUAUUUGGUUAUUUUAAUCACAAGACUGAUGGUGAACAUGUCCACUUCACUAAGUCAGAAGCCUCAGACUCUGAUGAAGAAGAAGAUGAUGAUGAUCAAAGCAAUGCAGAAGAAAUCGACAUGGGGCUGCGGAGGCGACUACGACGACAUCAUCACGGUGCUGCGACGGCGGCGACGACGACGGCAUCGUCACGGUGCUGUGGCGGCGGCGACGACGACGACAUCAUCACGGUGGUGCGGGGGCGGCGACAACGCCGACGCCGACAUCAACACCAUCAAACACGGGCUUGUGGAGGCGCCGACGCCGACGACCUAUACGCGUGCGUAUAUUGUGUGUGCGUGUAUAUAUGUGUGUAGUAAUUAGCUAUAUCAGAUAUGUAUGUUUGUCUGUACACACAAAAUGUAUGUAUUAUUAAAUGCAUGUAUGUGAGUUCUAUGAAA
Long non-coding RNA from Triticum dicoccoides, 1506 nucleotides. RefSeq lists it as uncharacterized. Lineage: Eukaryota; Viridiplantae; Streptophyta; Magnoliopsida; Poales; Poaceae. The transcript is spliced from 4 exons. The record is from RefSeq and is a predicted model, not a curated record.